Molecule: ribosomal RNA, 72 nt
Filed under: uncultured fungus
Lineage: Eukaryota; Fungi
Description: partial 5.8S ribosomal RNA
Source: RNAcentral
CACAAUUCCGUGAAUCAUCGAAAUCUUUGAACGCAAAUUGCACUCCCUGGCAUUCCGGGGAAUAUGCCUGUU